CAGGAAAUGGAAUAACUUUUUAAGACGCUACAGUGGUAAACUUGAGAAAUCCUCUUCUGCAUUUAAGAUCAAGAAUCCCAAUAGUAAAAACCGUGUAUAAGAGGAUGCUUGGUGUUCCAAGAAUGACCUACCUCUUCAAGAAACCAUCACUAUCCGGUUUCCUCUCUCUGUUCUGAUGAAGAUGGUGGUGCCAGGAAGAGGAUUGCGACUAUAUUACGAGUAUCAUCUCUUUCACAAAACCUCACCAGAACCCUAUUUUUCUUUCUCAUCGAGGUUUAUACUCUGAUAAAGUAUUCACCAUUUGAUUUACUUCAUUGUUAUGUUCUUCUGAAUGAUUCAAAUUUAAGAUACGUGUUAAUUUUUGUUUUGUUUAGUGUAACCUAAUUUGAACGAUUUGUAGAUGUCUCGUAUAAAUGUCGCUUGAAGUUUUUGUUGAUAUUACAAUCGCCCCAUGACUCUAUUUUUGUGUUCUGCAAUCGCUGCAUCUUUUUGUUAGAUGAUUCUGAGAAGAUUUUGUUGAUAUUGGUACGGGUCAUUUCAUUGAGGUUUGUGUUUUUUUUUUCUGUUCAACAUUUUUGGUUUGUGUUGCUUUUAUAAGUUAACUACGUUUGUUUUUUAGAAUUAGGGUUUGUAUAUGGUGGACAAACAGGUUAAUGUAAGUCUCCAGUGAACUAAUUGGAGUGUGGAUGGGUCGAUUAAAGGCUUAGAUCAUGGUUGUUGUUCUAAUUGUGCUUACUUCUUCUCCGAUUGUAGGGCGGUGGUGGUGCUAUCAGAUGGUCAUGCCAACUCUUAAGGGUGGUCAUUAUUCAACCGAUCCAUCAACAGUGUACCAUUGUUUUUAUGUUUUGUCACAUAUUGCAAGCUUGAAUUUGUGUUAUAUUUUAUGUUGCUGAAAGGGUUUUAUAUAUUUUUAUUAGAUUAUUAUUAUGGAUGCUCUGUUUCCAUAUAGCCACUAUAGGGUGAUAUACCGUUUGGUACGAUCAGGGAAGGACGGAAUGCAGCCUUGAUGACAUUUUAGUUGCUUGAAAAGCUAAAAAAGGAAUUACGUUUUCUUUCUUUGUUAAGAGGAGUACAUCAUUAAAUUGAAGGUAUGAAAUCUGGAUUUCAGAUUUUUUGCAGCUCUAUUAAUAGUGUGCAGACUAAAUUUCUAUUGUAAAGGGGGUAAAUUGUCCAGAAAUUUAAGACGCCUUAGCAACUAGAACCGUUCAUUUGCAUAUUCAGAGAAGAGAGAGAAGCAGAGAAGAUAAAGAGAGCAACGGGGGUUAGAGAGUGAACAAGCGAUUGGAGAGAGAACGGGAAAGAGACAGAGAGAGAGAGAGAGACAAUGGAGAAGGGGAGACCAGGCACGGCCUCCGGCCAUCCACCUUAAAAGUAGUAUAUAAUAAUUUUUAUAUACUUUCAGACUCCAAGUCGUAAAUUCCUCAUUCGUGUUUUAUAUUUGGAAAUUUAUAACGGGCCAUGGGAUACUUAUGAAUCGAACUUGUCAAGCAAUCUCAAUAAGCACCAUGUACCAAAGAACUUCGUGGAGAAGCUUGCUUUCAGGACAGUGAAGCUACUGAGAAUUCCAACUGAUUUAUUUUUCAAGUGAGUGGAACGUCCCAAAAAAAUCUAGCCAACGUAUUAUAAUCAUAAAAUUCGCGAUUGGAAUCAUAGAAUUCGCGAUUGAUUUUCUUAACUGGAUCGACGAUUGGUACGCCAGCGAUUUCACAGCGAUCGGUACGCCGGCGAUUUGCGAUUGGGUACAUCACGUACCAAUACGAAAAUCGCGACUCUUAGAGCGAAUUAGGUAACUAUGAUCUCGGCUCCGACCCUGAUGAGUUUGGUAUUGACAGUAGUGCUGAGAUCAUACAUUCCAUAUGAUGGUCUAUAAGUUUGGGUCAUUUGUUAAAUGCCAAACUUAUUGGUGAUGAAAUGGGUUUGUUUACCACGGUUGGGUAAACGGGUCAAAACGGAUGAAAUGGGUCAAUUUACCACGGUUGGGUAAACGGGUCAAAACGAGUUCAUGCCAAAACGUUUCUUUAUUGGGGUGGGUUAACCUGUUAAUCUUCAUUAAAAAAAUUAUACUAGACAAUAUAUCAAACGUUUUAUUUGUAUUUGUUAAGGAGUCAGGUUAUGCAUAAACUUGUUGUGGCCUGUGGAGCAGCCUGCGUGGAUUGUAAAUUUUAGAUGGGUUAUAAAAGUUUAACAUACUAACACAAGUAAAAAAUUUAAGUAUGACAGAGCAUUCAAUUCAGAUGGAUAAAUUUACCUCGAUUCGGUAGAUUGCAAGAUAGGCGCCAUAGUCGGCGGUGGCAACGACAUCUUGUGGAAUAGAAGUUGGGGCUUGUGGCUGAGCAUAAGUGCUUCCAUAAGCAUUGUAUGUGCCAUAAGCAACCUAAAAAGUAUAUCAAAAGGCUAUUCCUUCCAUGCUUUUGGCGUUAGUUCUCUGCUUUGACCACAGAAAAGUCAAAGAGGCUACAAACCCGCUGGAUAUAUCUCCACAAAAAGGGUAUAAAUACAUAUGGUAUGAUACGUGUGGAUAUGCUGUUGGAUUGGUAGCUGCAUUAGCAGCUGGAAUUCUUACUCAUUCUCCGCAGCCAUCACUUCUAUAUCUGGUGCCAUUGACACUUGGACCGAUAGUUGUGAUCUCCUGGGCACGAAAGGAGUUAUGGGAAGGAUCGACACCGAAUCUUACAGAGAAAACACAUUUGACAGAAGUUUAAGCCAUGGAACAUGUAAAUGGACUUUGGAUAAGUUAAGAAUGAUGUUGCUACUUUGGAAAUAACAUUUUGUUUAAUAUUA
Helianthus annuus (common sunflower) is the source of this 2781-nucleotide long non-coding RNA. RefSeq lists it as uncharacterized. Lineage: Eukaryota; Viridiplantae; Streptophyta; Magnoliopsida; Asterales; Asteraceae. The transcript has 6 exons. The record is from RefSeq and is a predicted model, not a curated record.